Molecule: ribosomal RNA, 526 nt
Filed under: Escherichia coli
Lineage: Bacteria; Pseudomonadati; Pseudomonadota; Gammaproteobacteria; Enterobacterales; Enterobacteriaceae
Description: bacterial LSU rRNA
Rfam family: Bacterial large subunit ribosomal RNA
Source: RNAcentral
GAUCUAGCCAUGGGCAGGUUGAAGGUUGGGUAACACUAACUGGAGGACCGAACCGACUAAUGUUGAAAAAUUAGCGGAUGACUUGUGGCUGGGGGGGAAAGGCCAAUCAAACCGGGAGAUAGCUGGUUCUCCCCGAAAGCUAUUUAGGUAGCGCCUCGUGAAUUCAUCUCCGGGGGUAGAGCACUGUUUCGGCAAGGGGGUCAUCCCGACUUACCAACCCGAUGCAAACUGCGAAUACCGGAGAAUGUUAUCACGGGAGACACACGGCGGGUGCUAACGUCCGUCGUGAAGAGGGAAACAACCCAGACCGCCAGCUAAGGUCCCAAAGUCAUGGUUAAGUGGGAAACGAUGUGGGAAGGCCCAGACAGCCAGGAUGUUGGCUUAGAAGCAGCCAUCAUUUAAAGAAAGCGUAAUAGCUCACUGGUCGAGUCGGCCUGCGCGGAAGAUGUAACGGGGCUAAACCAUGCACCGAAGCUGCGGCAGCGACGCUGAUGCGUUGUUGGGUAGGGGAGCGUUCUGUAAGCCU